This is a non-coding RNA of Pelobates cultripes (western spadefoot toad), 777 nucleotides long. The record is from the annotation of a GenBank genome assembly. Lineage: Eukaryota; Metazoa; Chordata; Amphibia; Anura; Pelobatidae.
CCUGUGGCCGUGUGCCCACAGAAAGGGCCCGGCGUGCCACCUGUGGCACGCGUGCCAUAGGUUCGCCAUCACUGCCCUAGGGAGACCAUACCCGCGUUUAGACUUAUGUCUUCAUCAAUGCUUAUUAAGAAUUUUAUAUAUGUAGGGAUAUGUAUUUUCUACGUUAUUUAAUUAUGUUUUUAAGAUGCUUCCCAAUUUUGCAUUAAAUCUAUUUAUUACCCCAUAGAUAUGGCGGACUUCCUAAUUACAUAUAAAUCAUGUGUAUAGGACUCAGAAUAUACACAAUGGCGAAUUCAAGCUUUUAACUCGAGUGCUGGAACGCUAGUUAAGUCAGACGCAAGGAGGCGCAAUGACGUUCGAACACGCAAGAGUCGUAAACCUGGAAGUAACCAUCGGUAGUACGGAUGAAGGCGCCAAGAUUAAUAUAAAAAGGGAGACAGGGAGACACUCACAACAGAACCACUGAUUGAUAAAGGCAAACCAGCCGAAACGCGUCAGGUGGAGGUGGACUAUCUUUUAAUCUAUAUUUGUAAAGUAUGUUUUUCUGUUUGUUCUUAAAGCCAGAGGUGUUUUUACAUAUAUCCAGUAUUUUGGAGUUCCUUUCUGAUGCUGCAUUGGAAAAAAAAAAAGGCAAAGCUGUGAACUUGAACAUUCAGAUCCUUAAAGGUGGCCACCAUUCCUUCUGCAACUGAGCUUUUAGUCUGAGCCAGCUUGUGGAGUGGCUCAGAAUCAUGUGAGUGGAUCCAAAAUAGAUUUUAUCAAUUAUCUAGUUUUUAC